UCUCUGAUAGCUCAGUAGGUAAAGAAUCUGCCUGCAAUGCAGGAGACCCUGGUUCAAUUCCUGGCUAAGGAA
This is a non-coding RNA of Bos taurus (domestic cattle), 72 nucleotides long. Lineage: Eukaryota; Metazoa; Chordata; Mammalia; Artiodactyla; Bovidae. The record is from Rfam.